This 153-nucleotide non-coding RNA is filed under the name unclassified sequences. The record is from RNAcentral.
UUAUGGCCAGAAGUCAGUAUCUCACGGGGUACUGUCCAGUGCUCAAUCCAAAGGAAUCUACAUCCCUGUCGCAUUGGUCGAGCCAAUCGGCAAAAUAUCUAAACAGGUAACAGGGAGCAAGUAGAGGUAACCCCUCGAAAGUUACCUGUUACC